GCAGCUGUGGCAUGCGGGACCUGUCGGUGGUCUGGAUAGCAUUUGGAGCUUCGCUAGCAACCUGGCAUUUCAUCUCCGACAAAGUUAUCCCCGAGAGAAGUAAAGCAAGUGUAGGGAUUCCUCUGUGGAUCUGCAGAGAAAUAAAAGCUGAAUCCGUAACUGGAGGCUGCCUAAAAACCACGAUGCUUCAAAUGCUUGGAACGAUGGACUGCAGAUUGUUUGGAAUUGGCCUUAGACCCAUUGCAUGGCUGAUGGGACACUGCUUCUUGAACAUCACCGGUGAUGCCUUUCCCUCUUGGCACUGCAUCAAUAUGUACUGUACCUGAAUGUUCCAGACCACUGCUUUUAUAGUAGUGUUCACACUUCAGUCAAGUGCAUUUA
Long non-coding RNA from Astatotilapia calliptera (eastern happy), 381 nucleotides. Lineage: Eukaryota; Metazoa; Chordata; Actinopteri; Cichliformes; Cichlidae. The record is from Ensembl.